RNAcentral lists this long non-coding RNA (391 nucleotides) under Homo sapiens (human). Its description in RNAcentral is "HSALNT0314161". The record is from RNAcentral. Lineage: Eukaryota; Metazoa; Chordata; Mammalia; Primates; Hominidae.
AGAUGUCUAGUAAUUUUUCAGCAGUGCUUUGCAGAUUGAUGUUGAGUCAAGAAAGACCUAGAGCCUGACUCUCCUCAAACUCUAUGAGAUAUCUCUUAGUCCUGUUAGAAAUCUGCAAGGCAUCAGACAUUUGGAUCCCCAAGCAGAUAUGCCAACAUCCUCUUCCCCUUCCUUCCACAAAAGCACUCUGACCGGAAAAGCAGAUCCAGGAGCAACAGGAAAGGGAGCAGAAGCCGGAGGAAGAGACACUCUCUAAGCAUUGAACCAAAAGCUAUCCAGAUAGAACACUGUGAAGGAUAAGCAGAAAGAGUCCGUCGUUCAAUGACUUCAUUUGAAUCAGAACUAACAACCACCACAACAAAGUAGGGGGACAGUCAUUUCUAAGCCUUGA